This is a long non-coding RNA of Artibeus jamaicensis (Jamaican fruit-eating bat), 493 nucleotides long. RefSeq lists it as uncharacterized. NCBI's taxonomy places the organism in Eukaryota, Metazoa, Chordata, Mammalia, Chiroptera, Phyllostomidae. The record is from RefSeq and is a predicted model, not a curated record. The transcript has 3 exons.
CAAGGGACGUUCCUGAGGCGACAGUACAGCACUCGGGUCAGACCCCGGGCUCCUGCAGGGGGCCGCUCCGGUAGGGCUGACAGCGACUGUUCUAACCAGCGCAGGCGCGCUGUGGAAACCGUGCUCCGGGUCUUUGGGACCUCCCUCCCAAGGUCCCCGCAGGGCGCAGCGAGGAAGGUCUCGGUCGGAGGUGGCUCGCUAGGGUGCACAGACCCAGCCAGACUCGGUUGUCACCACGUAGAGCCGAGCUCCAGAGUCGUAGGCCACGGCCCCUCCGCAAGUCCUCGUCUCUCUGGCAGAGACCCGGAGGUCGGUGGGCGCCCGUCACAUGCCAGCCCUCGGCCCCGAAGGUGACACAGCGAAACAGUUUUUAAGGGCACUCCAAGUGAGUCGUCAGAGAAUAUGGCAGAUUCAGGCUCCAGUGCCAAGAGGAGCCACACUGCAGUCCAGAAAAACCCAGGAAAUCUGAAGACCCUUCAAAUAACUGCCCUCC